This 505-nucleotide ribosomal RNA is filed under the name uncultured bacterium. Its description in RNAcentral is "partial 16S ribosomal RNA". It matches the Rfam family "Bacterial small subunit ribosomal RNA", at positions 28 to 507 of the family's 1533-position model. The record is from RNAcentral.
GACGAACGCUGGCGGCGUGCCUAAUACAUGCAAGUAGAACGCACAGUUUAUACCGUAGCUUGCUACACCAUAAACUGUGAGUUGCGAACGGGUGAGUAACGCGUAGGUAACCUGCCUGGUAGCGGGGGAUAACUAUUGGAAACGAUAGCUAAUACCGCAUAAUAUUGAUUAUUGCAUGAUAAUUGAUUGAAAGAUGCUAUUGCAUCACUACCAGAUGGACCUGCGUUGUAUUAGCUAGUAGGUGAGGUAACGGCUCACCUAGGCGACGAUACAUAGCCGACCUGAGAGGGUGAUCGGCCACACUGGGACUGAGACACGGCCCAGACUCCUACGGGAGGCAGCAGUAGGGAAUCUUCGGCAAUGGACGAAAGUCUGACCGAGCAACGCCGCGUGAGUGAAGAAGGGUUUCGGAUCGUAAAGCUCUGUUGUAAGAGAAGAACGGGUGUGAGAGUGGAAAGUUCGCACUGUGACGGUAUCUUACCAGAAAGGGACGGCUAACUACGUG